This is a non-coding RNA of Camelina sativa (false flax), 898 nucleotides long. The record is from RefSeq and is a predicted model, not a curated record. Lineage: Eukaryota; Viridiplantae; Streptophyta; Magnoliopsida; Brassicales; Brassicaceae.
CCUCAUUUUCUUUCUUUUCUUUUCCCCACUUUCUCUCUCUCUCUUUCCUCCCUCGACGAACCGAUGAAUCCAGAUUCCUCGACGAAUCGAUUGGUUUUUCCGGCUUAAAGACGUGAGAUUGUUUGCUCUGAGAACGAUUUCUGUUCGGUUCUGGUUCCAAUCGUUAUUCUUCUCGAGCCGACGAUUCGGAUCUGACCGCAAUCGAUCUCCGAUUGCGAUACGAGCUAUGGAGUGGUUUAUCUGAUGGACUUACGGGGACGGCGAGGUGCACCGGCAAGGUUUUUCGGGAAGCGAAUCUGUGAUGAAUAUGAUCCGAUCAUCACCUCUCGUUCUUACUUUUGAGAUCUUCUUUGAGUGCCCAGUUUGCACUCAGUACUUUGAGGUAAGUUAAACGUUUAUGGCUAUGACGAUUAGAGGUUCAUUUAUAAAGUUUGAAACCAUAGGCAUUACUCACCUGAAAUUGGUAUCACACAUUAAAGUUCAAGACACGAGAGCACAAGCAUUAGAUCAAACACGUCGCGCAGAGACGUAGGGCGUGACUUGACACCGGUCCAAAUACAAGUAUGAUUUUUCAGCGAAAUGUAUAGCUUCCGACGGGGGUAUUGGUGAGGUUCAAGAGGCAGAGGAGGUUGACUUAGGAGUGAGAAGGUCAAAGAGGGAGAGGAGAGUCAAUCCACGAUACCAAAACUGAGUCCUUGCUUCAAAGUUCUUUUAAUUAUUUUGGUUGUUUCUACAAAUAAACUAGGUCCACUCUGUUCCUAGAUUGAAGGACAAGAGUAGGCACAUUCACUUUCAGUUUUGCUAUUUGCUUCCAGCUUUGUAGGAACAAUAUCUAAGAGAAGGUCAAGAACAAUAGUUCCAUUGGCUUCUUUCUAAGCUUCAGCUUCUUUCGUAAGAA